GGAGAAGAGGCUCUAAGUUUUUUUUUUUUUUUUUUUCAUUUUUUGGUUAUGUAAGAGGCUCUAAGUUAAAGAAAGGAACUCUGCACUAUUUCAUCACUGUCACUGUGUCAGAGGGAAUUCAAAAUACUCGCCAAUGCUAAGGCUCCCAUUUUUCUCCCCCCAUGGCCCACGGAACCAGGUGUCUGUGACAGGUGCAGGCAGUGAGGCUGAAGCAGCAAAGAUUGCACACUCGGUGGCAUCUUCUUCACUUGGGUGCUGUAUAAAGGCAGAGAUCCAAAUUGGGAGCGCAUUGCUGCUGCUGCAGGUUAUGCAGGGAUUUCUUUCCACCACAACAAGCUUCGAGUAUUGCUAGGAGACAUUCUGCUCAUGGAUGCUGGGGAACCACAACCGUUUGACCUGUAAUUCUAAGUCUUGACUUUUUAGAUAAAACCAAGAACUAGUUCAUUCAAACGAGCUGCAGCAAGUAACUAUCUGAGGAAGGCUGGUGAAACCCACAGUACAGUUGAAAUUCUUAUAUCAGUUGGUAAGCUUCUGAAGUACGCAUGAAGCGUAAAUAUGCUACUUUUGCUCUCUAUUGACAGUGAAUUUAAAAACCAAGUCUACUAAUGUUAGCUAGUUAAGGGAUCACACUCGCUUAGAGGGUGGGAUCGACAUAAUUUUGUAAAAAAUACCACCAAAAAAAAAAAUCUGCAAUUCGGCCUGCUAACUUUUCUUUGCACAAUGAAUACUAGUAUUAGUAUAGUAUGUUAGUCCAUAAACUAAAUCCAAACAGUUCAGUUAGGCUUACAUCCCUGCUUAUGCUGCAGAUUUGCUUGGUUGUUGAAGGGCUAGGAUAAAUGAAUUCUCUUCUAAAACAAUUUAAAUAGCUACUUCACUUUUUUGAAAACAAUGUGUCAUCUCUUAAAGUGAACAAGUCCGCUAGCUGAAUUUUGUAUUGCUUAUUGGGCUGCCAUCUUCAAAAAUUGAGAUUUACUCUAGUAUGUGGUUGACAACUCACGUUUCAUUACCCAACAGAUGAUGGCUCCAAAAGAAUAAAACAUUCUCACCAGCUGGUCUUGUUUUGAUGAGGUUAACUUUCCUAGUCUUGUGGCAUUGCAUUUGUCUUGCCUCAUAUCUUCUUCCAAACAGGUGAUGGCUUGGGAAGCGGGCAAGCAUGUGGAUGCGAUUUAAGUUGUGACUAUGUCAAAAUAAAUGCAGAAUACAUAACAUAGAAGAAUUCGUGUUGUGUCAUCUCAUAUUUCUUCUCUCUUCACAGGUUUUUUAAACAAUAAAGCCCACUUAUCACAUUUUGCUUCUUGGAUUAAUAUUUUAUCAUUGUUGUAUCUUACCGGUGACAAGGUUAGCAUGUGUUUUUCAAUGAAGAUCUGCUCAUGCAAAUCAUUUUUCUGCAAUCAACACAAGCUAUUCCUUGAUGUUGGAUUGAGAUAAAUUGAUAUUCUCUACUCAAUGUUACAAAUAUAUUUCAAAGCUCAAUCCUACUAUCAUAAGAAAUAAUUAAAAGUUUAACUGGAUAUAGCAUAGAAAUCGAAUAAAGGAGUCUGCAGUUAAAAACUCCUUCCCAUGAUAUAUUACAUGAUCAGCCUAAAACAUAUUUAGUAUUCAUGUGGCAUAAAGCCAACAAAUUUGUGGUAAGUUAGCAAUAGAAACAUAUUCCCGAUUCCAAACAACCCCUUAAAGCACAUUCCCACACCAAUAUUUAUCUUGAACAUGAAUCUCUACCUUGAAAAAGGAAAAGUAAUGCCUAAAUUCUAGCAGCACUCAAAGGUGUACAAUUGCAUUACAAGCUACAUCACAGAGGAGAUUCCUGGCCAAACAAGCGCAUCUCAAAAUGUUACUGUUGUGUGUCAAGAUGGAAGUUCAAGAUAAAACCGGAUCUUCCAAAUGACCUGUCUGUCACUUUCCCAGGGAAAUCCAUCGCUGUGAAUUUUCUGGGUUUUGAGGUUAGUGGCUCAGAUAUUAAAUGGAGCAGCCACAUGGACAGCUAUGAGUCAUUCAGGUUUGAAUUUUAAAGGGAGUGAUGGGUCAAGAUUACCUAAUGUGAUUGUUGUUUCAAGUGCUAUUCCUCAAGACAAUGUGGAGAUUUUGCAUGCAAAGUCUGCUGGAGUGCCUGUACACAAACAGGAUUAUUGGCUGGCAAGGCUAACGGGGUGCUACAAGCUUAUUGCUGUUAGUGGUAGCCAUGAUAAUCAUAUUAUAGGCUGCAGUUCAGUAGUUUAUACAGAUUGUAAUUUAUACAGACUUCUCUAAACUCUAGAAUUGAUGUUGUAACUUGUAGCUCAGUUAAUAUAGGACUUUUGAGUAGUUGCUCUCUGUUCUAUUACACCAUAAUAUAUGAUGUACUGCUGCUUGGUUAAUUUUUUGUGGAUCUAGAGCCAUAGAUUUUCUUUUGUACUGAAUCAACCAAGUUACGAAGAUUAGCUUAAAUAUUGCUUUUGUUUCCAUUGUAAUUGGAGACCAAGAUUGCACUUACGAAAAGUGUAAACAUUGGAACUAUCAUUAUUGUUUUAGAUUUUUUUUUUUAAUUGGUUAGUUUACACACACACCAAAUGGGUUUGUGAAUGUAAGUUUAAUCAAUCACUUUUAUUACAUAUUUAUAUUGAAUCUUCCUGUCUCAAUUAAGUGUUACUACUAGCUUGCUUAAAUUUCCAACAACAAACUUUCAAUACUGCAAAUAAGUUGAAUUAAGCAACUAGCAUGUUUUAUUUUGCUUGAGUAUGCUUCUGAUAGUGAGAUGUUUUUAACAAGAAAACAAGCUAGCAUGUUUUUUCUAUCCUAUUUAGUAAGUUACCACACUUAUUAAUCUAUGUUUUCCUUGAAAGGAGUAUGCACUUUAUUGUUUUUGCAGGCAAGAGUACAACAGCAAAUAUGCUGGCUUAUGUUUUGAAAGCAAUGGGCGAUGAUCUUACAGCAGUAAUUGGAGCACGUGUGCCACAGUUAUCCACUUUACUUUGAACUCUGCAGUAGAGCUGAAUUUUACACAGAUAGGUAUCUUUUAUUGUUUGGCCAUAUGCUCUGAUGAGUUCUCUUAAUGCUUUCUCCUUUUCUUUGAACAUUUGCAUUUGGUUCCAUUAGUCGAUUGGCUUGUUUUCUGUAGUUAAACACUUUUCAUGAUAUCACUAGACGCUGGAAAUAAUCAAAGCUAUCCUUUGUAGUUUCCAGAAGGAAAUAUUAUUUCAGGUAGUGGUCAAAAUUUUGUACUAGAGGUACCCUAUCCACUUUAUUUUCAUGAUGUCUAUGAAAUUGUUUGCUUAUUGUAUGAACAUUAACAUUGCAUAUAAGAAUGCUAACUCUAAUAAAGUUAUUGUAAGAAUGAUUUUUUUUUUCUUCUAUGAAUUGAUGAAGAAUUUUGUUUCACGGUUUCUGCCUGAAAAUAGCAAAAUUCAAAUUUCUCAUUUGUCAAAUAACAGAAUCUCUGUGUAAAGAUGAAGCAAUUUAUUAAUGAAAAAGGAUUGGUGUUUCAUCAUCAUUACUGGAUCCCACUCCACAUUCUGUAUGGACGGUACAGAUAUGAUCAGUGCAACUUUUUCUGUCUGUUUCUAGACUAUUGCAACUUUAUGCUCAUGCACUUUAUCUUCAGGGUAGGCUGAUGAAUAUGAUGGUUGUUUCUUGGGAUUAUCACCUAACAUAGCUGUAGUAAUCAAUCUGGACUGGGAGCAUGUUGACAUCUUUCAAGAUAAGGCAUGUUGAUUGAUAAGCUUUUUAUGCAUGGAAACUAAUAUUACAAGACUGUAUUUUCAUAGGCAUAGUUUAGAUUGAUUAAAUAUAUGCUCUCAACAUUAGGAAGCCAUUAAAUCUACUUUCAGGAGGUUCGUCAAUCUAAUCAAGGUGGGUGGACAUCUCAUAAUAUAUGGGGACAGGUAUCCAUUGCCCACUUGUCCUAUUAAGGAUAUAAUCUAUGGCACUAAGUUAGAACUUCUGGGGCAUUGAUAGUUUUAUUUCUAAUUUCUCCAUGCAAGUACAUAAUUCUUGUUUGUUUGUGAUAAGGCUUGAAUAGGGGUGUUUGGAAAACCAAGGAUUUGGUCCAGUUAACUCUUUAACUUUCAGUGCAAAAGGCCAAAAACCUCAAAUCAAGAUUUCUUUCCAAAUAUAUAAAUAAAACUAGUUACACAAUUCAUGGCUAACCCAAAUUUGUGCUAUGGUCUUAUAUAUAUAUAUAUAUAUAUAUAUAUAUAUGCAAUAACUAUUCAAAUUCCUCUCAAAUCUAAUUACCCAAUCAUAGAGGUUUAAGCUUACAGAAUUUUUGAGUUGAUAGUGUUCAUCUGUUCAGUCUAUAUGACAAGAGGGUGAAUGGUUUGCAGUAUCUAUUCAAAGUCAGCAAUUUACUAAGUCAAACAAAGAAAUUUUUUUGACAAAUACUAAUAAUUUUAUUUACAAAGGUCCAAUUCAUUUAAAGAUCAUUUUCGUUUAUCAGCAUGAGCAUCUAGUUAGAAUUUUUAAAUUCCUUGAGUAAUUAAGCAUAAGAAACAAGAAUGUAUGAAUGAUAAAUAACUAAACUUACACGUUGUUGCUUCACAUAGAUGGUAUGAGUCUCGGAUUGUGAUAUGACCUUUUUCAAAGAUUAAGGCCUGGCAUCUCACCACAAUAUCGUGAGUCCCAUUACCAUUACCUACUAUAAACUCAAGCUUUCCUCCCCAAAAUGCUUCCUCAUAUCUGUAUGCUGCAACACCAAUGCUGUAUAAGAAGUUCAUGAAUGCUGCUUAUAUGAUUUUAUCUAUUCUAGAUUCUGAUUCUGGAAUUUCCUUGAAAGGGACACAACAGUCCAGAUACACGUUCUUUGCUAAAUCACAGGAGACAAGCCACUGGGUCAGAGUAUUCCAGUAGUGUGAUGUUGGCUCCAAACUUGGAGCUAUUUGAUGAGCAUUACUGAAUAACUACUUAUGGAAUCUCAAGUCUUAAUGAUUGGCAUGCAUCCUCAAUUCGUCCCAACUAUCAUGGUGGCAGUGAUUACACACUGGUUGGUUAUAAUUUUAUUUCUACAUCUCUGGUUGCCCCUAAUGUAGACCCAACCUAUAGAAAGCUAAAGCACAUACAUAUUGAAGCUUCUUUGGCCUUUGGAAAAGGAUUUUCCAAAUUUGUGAUACAAAUUUUGGCAGGUAGUGAACCAAAGAAUCUAUAGAGCUAACAAAAAUUACAUAAAUCCAGAAAUUCCUCCAAGGAGUAGGCAGCCAUCCAAUCGUACAACAGUUUCGAGAAAAACGGCUCCAGCUCUAGCAAUGAGUGUUCAAUCCCUCUGCCAGAAUGCCAUCCAAAUUCAGAAAUUCAUGCCUUUUAACUGAUUACAUGGGUUUUCUAAAAGUGAAAUUUCUAAGACAUAAUACAUUCAUCAAAUCUAAUUUAGUACUUGAUUAUCUGCAGUUCCAUUGGGAGUUUCCAGAGGUAGAUAUCAGUCUACAGAUUCCUGGUUUCAGAAUGUCCUCAAUUCAUUAACAACGUUUUGAGAUGAUUGGUACAAUUUGUGGAUGCCAUAUAUAUGAUGAUGCACACCAUACAACAGAAAUCUGUGCAGUUCUUCAAGCAGCACGUCAAAGAUUCCCAUUCAAGGCUACAUGGGUGGUAUUCCAAGUUUCCAACCUCAUUUUUACAGACGUCUAGAAGAAUUGAAAGAUGAAUUUGCCACUGCACUCGGUGAUGCAGAUCAUGUUGUGGUUACAGCGGUUUAUGCUGCCAGAGAGUGGUUUUUGGGAUGUUGGUGGAAGUGAUUUAGCUGCUUCUAUUAAUGGCACACCAUGUGAAUAUAUCUCUUCUCUGGAGACUGUAGUUGAUGAGUUGGUGGUUCAGAUAUCCAAGGACCUUAAUCGCCAAAUUGUUGUUUUGACCCGAAUUGCCUCUUCUACUUUGGCAAGAAAUGACUUGUGAUUCUGUGACUGACUGUCCUUGUGUGACUUCCGUUUGAUUCUUCUAUGCAAAGAUGAAACUGGUGGCCGGUUACGUUAUUGGUAAUGGGAGUUUCUUCUAUAUACAUGGAUGGAUAUGGAACUAUCAAGAAGAAAGCUGAUGACACCGCAACUGCUAAUUGCGUUCCAUGUAAUGAAUUUGCAUUUCCAACUUGUGCUGUACUAUGUUCCCAUUUAAGGAAAACGGAAAGAAAAGAAAUAAAUGUUUUGUUGUAUUGUGAGGAACUGAAAAACAGAGUUCUUUUCAAGGCUAUUAGUGAUAAGCUGGACAUUUCAAGAAAAAUGCAGCAUCAUUUAUCGUUAAAAGAAUUCAAGAAAAUACUUGUAAUAAUAAGGAACUCCUCAAACAACUCCAAUUUAUAUGCUACUAUCUUAUCGUAUCUUACGUGAA
RNA transcript from Quercus robur (English oak), 6285 nucleotides. It is a transcript of the gene named arginine biosynthesis bifunctional protein ArgJ, chloroplastic-like, with no coding region annotated. The record is from RefSeq and is a predicted model, not a curated record. The transcript is spliced from 11 exons. Lineage: Eukaryota; Viridiplantae; Streptophyta; Magnoliopsida; Fagales; Fagaceae.